AAUAGAAUCAUAGCAGAAAAGGAAAUUUAACUCAUGACUUGAAGCAGCCAAUCAGAUAAAAGCUUCUGGAACAGAAAACUCAGUGCUUUCAUCAUCUGGUUACUUUUCAGCAGCUCCACCUUGAGGGUGCUUCCCUGUCUAAAGAUGAUGCCUCUGUGGAUUCUUGUCUUAUCUCUUAACAUAAGAACCCAAGCUGUGGAUUUUUCCAGACCAUCGUUUCUCUCGGUCAAACCUGGAGAACGUGUUACUCUUAACUGCUCAUUUGGACAUUUUAAAUCUUCUGAAAGUGUUUUCUGGUACAAACAAAUAUUUGGAGAAAUGCCUCAAAAAAUAGUGAAAAGAGUAGCGUAUAAGGACGUCGACAUUUCACCCGAGUUUAAGACGUCAGGAUUUGUAUUGGAGGUAAAAGAUAAGGAGGUUUCUCUGAUAAUUCCACAUAUAAAAGACAAAGACGAAGGACUUUACUACUGUGCAAAAGGUUUCAUGGACGAUAUUUUUUUAUCCAGCGGAACGUUCUUGGCUGUAACAGAUAACGGAGAUGCAAAAGUCUCAGUGUUUCAGCACGGCCUGUGGGACUCGGUCCGGUGUGAGAGCGCCUCUUCUACACACACCUGUGUGUACAACUUCUCCAAGAACAUCCUCAGCCUCAAUGAUACUGGAACUUACUACUGCGCUGUGGCCCUGUGUGGGAAGAUCAUCUUUGGGAACCGGACACAAAUACAGAUGGAGAAUGUUCCAGAAAUGGGUGGGUAA
Non-coding RNA from Tachysurus vachellii, 753 nucleotides. The record is from the annotation of a RefSeq genome assembly. Lineage: Eukaryota; Metazoa; Chordata; Actinopteri; Siluriformes; Bagridae.